RNAcentral lists this long non-coding RNA (1572 nucleotides) under Salmo salar (Atlantic salmon). Its description in RNAcentral is "lncRNA (ENSSSAG00000092076.1)". Lineage: Eukaryota; Metazoa; Chordata; Actinopteri; Salmoniformes; Salmonidae. The record is from RNAcentral.
AAAAAUGACAUCAUCAAACAUCACUGGCCUGACUUGAGCAGCUCUGCCCGGGGAUGGAGCCAGCAACUUAGCUGCUACCGGUCCGGUCCAGGCUACCUGCAGACCUCCUCCCAGACCUCCUUUUCAGCACCUCCCCUUAACAGGUGAGGUGGUGGAAAUGAUCAGAGUUGCAUUCAACUUGAAUAAAGAUGAGAAACUCUGGUCUGUGGAGCCACUGGUCUGAGGGGAGGACUUCUGUUUAAACCAUGUCCAUUUGGGAUAUUUUCUAGGACAGUAGAGGUGGUGAGCAGUGAUGAAUUCAACUUGGAUAAAGAUGAGAAACUCUGCUCUGGGGAGGAGAGUCACUGACCUUAGAUGGUUUGUUGCCUUGAUAAAGAGGACACUUUCUGGCUUGAGGAGAAUAUAAUGUUUUGUGGAGGAAAUGUGGCUUGAUGACUUAAAGAGGAGGAGGAAUUAUUGGGCGACACUUUUAAUUACCAACGUAACCUCAGUGGAACUGUGGCUUCAUCGAGUUCCAGCUCUAGGCAGACAGCACGUCAGGAAUGCUGUAAGACAUCACAGAGACAGAUGCUUGGCCUUUUCUUGUUCUUGGAGGUUGGCUCUGAUGUUUCAGCCUCUUCUGGAGCUUCCAGCUGCUGGUUCUCUGGCCACUCCUGCUGGUUCUCUGGCCACUCCUGCUGGUUCUCUGGCCACUCCUGCUGGUUCUCUGGCCACUCCUGCUGGUUCUCUGAACGCCACUCCUGCUGGUUCUCUGAACUCCACUCCUGCUGGUUCUCUGGCCACUCCUGCUGGUUCUCUGGCCACUCCUGCUGGUUCUCUGAACUCCACUCCUGCUGGUUCUCUGGCCACUCCUGCUGGUUCUCUGGCCACUCCUGCUGGUUCUCUGACAUCCCCUCCUGGUUCUCUGGCCACUCCUGCUGGUUCUCUGGCCACUCCUGCUGGUUCUCUGGCCACUCCUGCUGGUUCUCUGAACUCCACUCCUGCUGGUUCUCUGGCCACUCCUGCUGGUUCUCUGAACUCCACUCCUGCUGGUUCUCUGGCCACUCCUGCUGGUUCUCUGGCCACUCCUGCUGGUUCUCUGGCCACUCCUGCUGGUUCUCUGAGCCACUCCUGCUGGUUCUCUGGCCACUCCUGCUGGUUCUCUGGCCACUCCUGCUGGUUCUCUGGCCACUCCUGCUGGUUCUCUGAACUCCACUCCUGGUUCUCUGCCCAUGCCUGCUGCCUCCUUGGCCCCUCCUGCUGGCCAUCUCCAGAUCCAACAGGCUCUUGGCUUACCUGUUGGCCUGUGGCCCAUCCGGGCAAUGCCUGACCGUGGUUGGAAUCGUGGCUGUGUUGGGUGGUUGGACACCGGGUGUUGAUUUGAGCAUCAGCCUCCAGAUUCAUCUGUUCCAGGAAUUUUUCCUUCAUCCUCUCCCUCUCAUCCUUCAGUUUCUGAUGAGUCCUUUUUUUAAGCAGGGACUGCUCUCUCCACUGCUUAUUGAAAUCCUCCAACUUCUUCCUUCUCUCCUCAUCCUUCAGCAGCUCCUUCCUCUUCUCCCUCUCUCUCUCUGCCCGGGUCAUGGUGGAUGUUAG